AGUGAACGCUGGCGGUAGGCCUAACACAUGCAAGUCGAACGGCAGCACAGUAAGAGCUUGCUCUUACGGGUGGCGAGUGGCGGACGGGUGAGGAAUACAUCGGAAUCUACUUUUUCGUGGGGGAUAACGUAGGGAAACUUACGCUAAUACCGCAUACGACCUACGGGUGAAAGCAGGGGAUCUUCGGACCUUUCGCGAUUGAAUGAGCCGAUGUCGGAUUAGCUAGUUGGCGGGGUAAAGGCCCACCAAGGCGACGAUACGUAGCUGGUCUGAGAGGAUGAUCAGCCACACUGGAACUGAGACACGGUCCAGACUCCUACGGGAGGCAGCAGUGGGGAAUAUUGGGCAAUGGGCGCAAGCCUGAUCCAGCCAUACCGCGUGGGUGAAGAAGGCCUUCGGGUUGUAAAGCCCUUUUGUUGGGAAAGAAAAGCAGCAGGUGAAUACCCCGCUGUUCUGACGGUACCCAAAGAAUAAGCACCGGCUAACUUCGUG
RNAcentral lists this ribosomal RNA (492 nucleotides) under uncultured bacterium. Its description in RNAcentral is "partial 16S ribosomal RNA". It matches the Rfam family "Bacterial small subunit ribosomal RNA", at positions 29 to 507 of the family's 1533-position model. The record is from RNAcentral.